Molecule: long non-coding RNA, 357 nt
Organism: Bos taurus (domestic cattle)
Lineage: Eukaryota; Metazoa; Chordata; Mammalia; Artiodactyla; Bovidae
Source: Ensembl
CCAGACUCCAGGUCCCUUGAGCAGUACCAAGGUGGCAAUUAACCCCACUUCACAGAUGGGAAAGUACAGGCACAGAGCAGUCCACCCAGCAGGUCUCCUGGGCAACCCACCCUGACGUCACUGGCAGCUCUGGCGGCUGGCCCAGGAGCUGAAGCAGCUGGUGGCCAGAUCAUGUUUCCAGGGAUCCUGAGAAGUUUCCUGGAAAGCAGGCUCCUCAACUUUCUGUGUGAUGGACAUAUGACAACUGAGGGGAAAUGUCCCUCCCAGGGCUCAAUUUCUCCAGCUGUAAAAUGGGACUGCGAAAUGGGCCAACCUGCAGGCAGGCUAUCAGGCAGAAGCAACGAGAGCUUAUUAAAC